AUUCGACAUUUCCUAAGAUUCGACUUGGUGAAAUCCACUAUUUCAUAUAUCGGAAAAAGGAAUGAUCCAUCGGGCUCAGGAUUGUUCUCUGAUAAUGGAUCAGAUUGCACCAAUACCAAUCCGUUUUCUUCCAGUUAUUGCAAGGCAAGAAUUCAACAACCCCUUAAUCAAAAUCAAAGAACUAUUCAUACGUUGUUGAAUAGAAAUACGGGAUUCCAAUCGUUGAUAAUUUUGUCAUCAUCGGAUUGGCCGUAGGGCUUGCUUCUAUUGGACCUGGAGUUGGUCAAGGGACUGCUGCAGGUCAAGCCAUAGAGGGUAUCGCGAGACAGCCCGAGGCAGAGGGAAAAAUACGAGGUACUCUAUUGCUUAGUCUAGCUUUUAUGGAAGCUUUAACGAUUUAUGGAUUGGU
Molecule: non-coding RNA, 409 nt
Organism: Sesamum indicum (sesame)
Lineage: Eukaryota; Viridiplantae; Streptophyta; Magnoliopsida; Lamiales; Pedaliaceae
Source: RefSeq, a predicted model, not a curated record